Molecule: regulatory RNA element, 101 nt
Rfam family: S10-Clostridia ribosomal protein leader
Source: Rfam
UGACAGCGAUGAUGCGGAAGGUUGCUGACACACCAGGCUCCUUUGCCAUGGCACGGUGUAGGAAAUUUUCGCGGAGUAUGUCUGUUUAUAAAAAUGGACGA